RNAcentral lists this ribosomal RNA (380 nucleotides) under uncultured archaeon. Its description in RNAcentral is "bacterial SSU rRNA". It matches the Rfam family "Archaeal small subunit ribosomal RNA", at positions 471 to 851 of the family's 1478-position model. The record is from RNAcentral.
GAAUAGUAGCAGCUCAAGUGGUGACCAGUUUUAUUGGGCCUAAAGCGUCCGUAGCCGGUCUAGUAAACUCUUGGGGAAAUCGGUACGCUCAACGUAUCGAAGACCGAGAGCACUGCUGGACUUGGGACCGGGAGAGGUCAGAGGUACUCCCAGGGGAGCGGUUAAAUGUGUUUAUCCUGGGAUGACCACCAAUGGCGAAGGCAUCUGACUUGAACGGCUCCGACGGUAAGGGACGAAGCCCUGGGUAGCAAACGGGAUUAGAUACCCCGGUAGUCCAGGGUGUAAACGCUGCAGGCUAGGUGUUGGAUGUCCUUUGAGGGUAUCCAGUGCUGUAGAGAAGUCAAUAAGCCUGCCGCCUGGGGAGUACAAUCGCAAGAUCG